Gorilla gorilla gorilla (western lowland gorilla) is the source of this 2145-nucleotide long non-coding RNA. RefSeq lists it as uncharacterized. The transcript is spliced from 3 exons. The record is from RefSeq and is a predicted model, not a curated record. NCBI's taxonomy places the organism in Eukaryota, Metazoa, Chordata, Mammalia, Primates, Hominidae.
CCCCGGAAGCGCUGGCGCACCGCGACGCCCCGAGUCGACCUCGCUCACCGAUGGAAAUUCCGGCCGUCCAGCCGCACUACCACCCAGCAGUGUGCCAGGCAGGUGUCGUCAGCCUCGAAGUCCCUCACGUACUCGAACUUGCUUUUUGCCAUGGUCGCCCCCAAUCUCAGGGGUUCCAGAAGUCAGAGGAUGUGGUUGAUGGAGGGCUUGGAAAAAGAUGUUAGGAAAAGAGAAAGAGGAAAUUAAAUAUGCAAUACCGAUUAAAAGGAAGAGGUGGAUAAAGAAGAAGAAAAGACAGAAGAAAAGAAAGAAAAAAGAGAAAGAAAAAAGAAAGAAAGAGAAAGAAAGAAAAAAGAAAGAGAAAGAAAGAAAGAGAAAGAAAGAAAAAAGGAAAGAAAGAAAAGAAAAGAAAGAAAGAGAAAGAAAAGAAUAGAAUUUGGUGUCCAUAAAAUGUUUUGAGGCCCUAUAUCACAAAGAACUCUAAUACUUUUUAGAAAAGGCAAGGUAUUAAGACAUCUUGAUAUAAUAUAAAAAUAAUAUUAUUGAUACAGAGACAGAAUCAUAUUCACUGAAGUGUAAAUUUCACCACAUAGCUAUGAGUUAUAGGGCUGCAUGUAGAGUGGCCCAUAAUCAUUUGGCCCUGAAAGGGUCAUACGUUGGUAGAGAGAUUGAUGCAGGCAGAUAUUUCAAUUUAAUUUUUUCCAGUGACUGGGCUGGCUUAUUGAAUAAAAGAAUUUGAAUUCUUCAUGCCCAUCUAAAAAUGGAAUCUGGAAUGUGAAUUGACUUUCUGAUUUGGCUUAUACUAUUAGUCAUUCCCAUGCAUUAAAAAUUAACGGUAGAAGAAAAUCUAAUAAAUAAUUCAUGAUUUUUUUUUUGCUUGGGAAGAAUUAUUUCCUAAUCUGAGUUCAAUGAUAGCUUUCAUUUUAGCAAUAGGAAAAAAAGUGCAUGACAAAUACUACUACUCAUGCUUGAUUUUUAUUACUCAUUCUGGUUACUUGAGUAACAAAAGAGGUUCCUUAAACACUCAUACACAGAAUUUCUCCUGUAGAUAUUUCAGGCAUAGUUUUCUUCUGUUGCAUAGUAGUCUGUGAAGAAACGUUAAAUUAGGAAGAGAAUUCAAAGAAUUCCAAAGACUGAGCAACAUCACAUCACUGACAUAUUUACACUAUUUAAGGAAACCUUUUUCUCCUUCCUUUUUUCAACCUGCUUUCUUAGGUUGAAAAAGAAAUCUUUUUUAUCCAUGAUAUUUUGUUUUUGAAGAUUACUGCCUGUGUACACAUUUUUAGGCAAAAUCUCAGCAACUCCUGGCCUAUUGGAUUUGACUCAUUAUGGAUAUAAUCCAAAAGUUACCUUCGUUUUUAAGUUACUAUAUUUGUAAAGAACAAUUCUGUAAAUAUAGAAUCUCAGGAUGAGUAAAUGUAAUAUAAAUCAGAACCUAGAUAGAGUAACGUUAUGUAUAUAUCUAUAUAAGCAUAACCCACAUGUCUUCACUCUCUAACUAUAUUUAGGCUGUAUUUUACAUGUCUGAAGUUGAACAUCAUCUUUUCCAUCUACACAUUCAGUUUUGGUCAGAUUUAUUUUAAUUUUCCCAGUCAACCAGGUUUGACAAUUUAGAAUAAUUACUGGCUGUUCUUCAUUCUCCAAAAAUAAUGGUCAACAUAUUGAGUGUUUAUUCAGUUCCAAAUUAUAUGUUAAGCCUUUACAUAAAAUAUAACCUCACAAAAAUUAUUUUAAGUAUGCACUGUUAUUCACAUUUUAUAACUGGGGAAACAGUCUUAUAGGGAGUGACUUACCCAAGGUCACAUAGUGGGGGAGCCAGGAUAGGAAGCCAGGAAUGCAAUGCAAGAGCUUAUGUGCUUAACUCAUUUUUCUGUUCUACCUCUCAAUAACACCAUCAUAUUGAUCUAUAGAUUCAUUUAUUCAUUCAUCUGUUAAUUGAUUCAUUCAUUCCACAAACGCUUUUUUAAAAAAUUUUACUUUCCAUUGCAACAAAAUCCACAUUCGACACAAACGCUUCUUAAGCAAUCAUUUUCAAAUCAGAGACUGUAGACCGUGCUAGGAAUUGAUUAAGACAAGGUCCUUGCUCUAACAAUUGAGGUAGCAAAUUACAUUAACGAAAAAUUAAAGCAUGAUAUAAGUGUUUUA